Molecule: long non-coding RNA, 2770 nt
Filed under: Sorghum bicolor (sorghum)
Lineage: Eukaryota; Viridiplantae; Streptophyta; Magnoliopsida; Poales; Poaceae
Description: long non-coding RNA (SBIC_LNC012773)
Source: RNAcentral
CGAAUUAGAGGACAAAACGGUCCGAAAGUGGGAAAAAUUUUUGACGGUGGCUAGAAAUUGAUGGAAACGGUGGGGAAAAAUACACGAACUGGACUCUAACAAGACCUAACCAACAACAAGACCUCGACUAGGACACAAACUCAACACUGCGGACUCUGAAACUGAAAUAUGCAAAGGCUAUGACGCGGAAGGGUUGUAGGACAAGAAAACGAUAUGGCACUGGACUUAUGGGACGAACACAAGAGCACUCGGAACUAAAGUGUAGAUGUGAACUUAACGGUAUACCUGAAGCUUUGAUUACCACUUGAUGAGAACAAGGGUGGCCCGAUCUUCCGAAAGCUUAUGGUAACUCUCGAUUUGGCGGAGACGAGACACAAAUCGAUUCGGCUUCCAAACAACACAAUCCAAAAUCCUACUAUUUUUUAUUUUUUUAUAUUUUUCUUUUACUUAGGAGCAAUAAAGAAGUAACCACAGAAAAUUUAAGCUUAAACAAGUGAAAGACGUGGCUUGCGGAAAUUUCUGAAGAUUGUGAAAAAUGUGAAAAAAAUUCACGAGGUGAAAACUCAAACUUUAGAGGUGAAUUUGGAGAUUCUAAAAUUUUCAAACCCACCAAUGGUAGAGACAGACAGAUCCAAAUUUUUUCUGAUCGAUUUUUAUAUAUGGAACAUUGAAAUCGGAGUUCGUAUGUGAAAGUUAUGCUUGUUUUACGAACGGACUCCGAAUUAGAGGACAAAACGGUCCGAAAGUGGGAAAAAUUUUCGGCGGUGGCUAGAAAUUGAUGGAAACGGUGGGGAAAAAAUACACGAACUAGACUCUAAUAAAACCUAACCAACAACAAGACCUCGACUAGGACACAAACUCGACACUGCGGACUAUGAAACUAAAAUAUGCAAAGGCUCUGGCACGGAAGGUUGUAGGACAGGAAAACGAUAUGGCACUAGACUUAUUGGACGAACACAAGAACACUCGAAACUAAGGGUAGCUGUGAACCUAAUGAUAUACCUAAAGCUGAUUACCACUGGAUGAGAACAAACGGUGGCCCGAUCUUCCCAAAGGUUCUGGUAACUCUCGAUUUGGCGGAUACGAGAUACAAAUCGAUCUGGGUUCCAAACAACACGAUCCGAAAUCCUGCAAUUUUUCUAAAUUUUUUUUAUAUAUUUCUUUUACUUAGAAGCACUAAAGAAGUAACCACAGAAAAUUUGAGCUUAAACAAGUGAAAGACGUGGCCUGCAGAAUUUUUGGAAGAUUGUGAAAAAUGUGAAAUAAACUUCACGAGGUGAAAACUGAAACUUCAGAGGCGAAUUUGGAGAUUCUAAAAUUUUCAAACCCACCAAUGGCAGAGACAGACAGAUCCAAACUUUUUUUCUGACCAAUUUUGAUAUAUGGAACAAUGAAAUCGGUGUUCGUAUGUGAAAGUUAUGGUUAUUUUAAGAACGGACUGGCAAAACGGUCCGAAAGUGGGAAAAAAUUGCGGCGGUGGCUAGAAAUUGAUGGAAACGGUGGGGAAAAAUACACAAACUGGACUCUAACAAGACCUAACCAGCAACAAGCCCCCAACCAUGACACAAACUCGACACUGCGGACUCUGAAACUGAAGUAUGCAGAGGCUAUGGCGCGGAAUGGUUGUAGGGAAGAAAAACGAUAUGGCACUAGACGUAUGGGACGACCACAAGAACACUCAAAACUAAGGAUAGAUGUGAACCUAAUGGUAUACCUGAAGCUUUGAUUACCACUUAAUGAGAACAAGGGUGACCCGAUCUUUCGAAACGUUCUGGUAACUCUUGAUUUGGUGGAGACGAGACACAAAUCGAUCUGGCUUCCGAACAACACGAUCCAAAAUCCUGCAAUUUUUUUUUUGAUAUUUUUCUUUUCUUAGGAGCAAUAAAGAAGUAACCACAGAAAACUUGAGCUUAAACAAGUGAAAGACGUGGAGUGCAGAAAUUUCUGAAGAUUGCGAAAAAUGUGAAAAAAAAUCACGAGGUGGAAACUCAAACUCUGGAGGCGAAUUUGUAGAUUCUAAAAUUUUCAAACCCACCAAUGGCAGAGACAGACAGAUCCAAAAAAUUUUUCUGACAGAUGUUGAUAUAUGGAACAUUGAAAUCGGUGUUCGUAUGCGAAAGUUAUGGUUGUUUUACGAACUGACUCCGAAUUAGAGGACAAAACGGUCCGAAAGUGGGAAAAAUUUUUGACGGUGGCUAGAAAUUGAUGGAAACGGUGGGGGAAAAUACACGAACUGGACUCUAACAAGACCUAAUCAACAACAAGACCUCAACUAGGACACAAACUCAACACUGCGGACUCUGAAACUGAAAUAUGCAAAGGCUAUGACGCGGAAGGGUUGUAGGACAAGAAAACGAUAUGGCACUGGACUUAUGGGACGAACACAAGAGCACUCGGAACUAAAGGGUAGAUGUGAACUUAACGGUAUACCUGAAGCUUUGAUUACCACUUGAUGAGAACAAGGGUGGCCCGAUCUUCCGAAAGCUUAUGGUAACUCUCGAUUUGGCGGAGACGAGACACAAAUCGAUUCGGCUUCCAAACAACACAAUCCAAAAUCCUACUAUUUUUUAUUUUUUUAUAUUUUUCUUUUACUUAGGAGCAAUAAAGAAGUAACCACAGAAAAUUUAAGCUUAAACAAGUGAAAGACGUGGCUUGCGGAAAUUUCUGAAGAUUGUGAAAAAUGUGAAAAAAAUUCACGAGGUGAAAACUCAAACUUUAGAGGUGAAUUUGGAGAUUCUAAAAUUUUCAAACCCACCAAUGGUAGAGACAG